RNAcentral lists this ribosomal RNA (468 nucleotides) under uncultured bacterium. RNAcentral describes it as "partial 16S ribosomal RNA". It matches the Rfam family "Bacterial small subunit ribosomal RNA", at positions 28 to 507 of the family's 1533-position model. The record is from RNAcentral.
GACGAACGCUGGCGGCGUGCUUAACACAUGCAAGUCGAACGGAAAGGCCCUGCUUUUGUGGGGUGCUCGAGUGGCGAACGGGUGAGUAACACGUGAGUAACCUGCCCUUGACUUUGGGAUAACUUCAGGAAACUGGGGCUAAUACCGGAUAGGAGCUCCUGCUGCAUGGUGGGGGUUGGAAAGUUUCGGCGGUUGGGGAUGGACUGGCGGCUUAUCAGCUUGUUGGUGGGGUAGUGGCUUACCAAGGCUUUGACGGGUAGCCGGCCUGAGAGGGUGGCCGGGCACAAGGGUACUGAGAGACGGCCCAGUCUGGUAUGGUAGGCAACAGGGGGGAAUAUGGCACAAUGGGCGGAAGCGUGAGGCAGCGACGCCGCGGUCGGAAUGACGGUCUUCGGGUUGUAAACCGCUUUCGCCUGUGACGAAGCGGGAGUGACGGUAAUGGGUGAAGAAGCACCGGCUAACUACGUG